Long non-coding RNA from Drosophila montana, 583 nucleotides. RefSeq lists it as uncharacterized. Lineage: Eukaryota; Metazoa; Arthropoda; Insecta; Diptera; Drosophilidae. The transcript is spliced from 3 exons. The record is from RefSeq and is a predicted model, not a curated record.
AUAUUUCAAACUCUUAGUUUUAAAGGAGAACAACUUUUAUCAUACGGCAAUUCUAUAAAAUGAAGAGAAAACAUUUUGCUAGCUCAGAAAAAUAAUUAAUGUAUGGAAUGUCAUUCUGUGUGCUUUCAGUAUAGUUAAAUAUAUAUAUAAAUAAGAUCUUAGCUGAAAGAACUAAUUGUUUAAUUUGAGAUAUCUAUAAACAUACAUGGAUUGAAUUGCCAUUAACCCAGAGGUCUCUCUGGGCUAUAUGUGAUAGUACGAAGUGAACGUGUACUAGAAAGCUGCAUGGAAACGACGCUCAAAAGUCAAAAUGUGUUUAAGCAUAUAUACUCUCCCACGUUUCAAGAACAAGUGUACCUUAUUGCAAAUUAAGUUUAUGGCUCGAAUACGGUGCAAGUAUAGCGAUAAUGCCGUUAAACGUCUGGAUUUUUAUUUUGGCCUAACAAGAACAUUGCUGUCAUGCUGAUCGACAAUAAUUCUUAGAUGUCUUUCUUAGAGGCUUUCUAGCCCAGUUGUAAAAUAUUUAAUUCGAUCGUUAACAUAAUAAAUAAUAUUUCAACCGGUUUAAAACACACACCCAUUU